UCUGUUUGUUUCUCAAAAGAGAAUGUUUUGAACCCUUGAUUCAGCUUCCAGUAGAAAUAAGUCAGUAUAAUGUUAAAGAUGAUGGAGUCAAAGGAGCUGGUUACAGAAGCGAUAUCCAGGUACAUUUUCAAGCUCAAUCUAUUCUGAAUUUGCCUUUCAUCAUGUCAAGUAUUACUGUAUUAGCAUGAUGUGACAAAACCCAUUGGAUGAGAUUCAAGAUUAUGAAGAAAACCUACUUUUUGAGUUAGAAAUAUGUGACCUUCGAUGGCAAUAGGUUCAAUUCUCAUUUGUUAGAAAUUUAAAAAACAGUGGGAAAAACCCAUUGUUCAGUCCUUUCAAGAUGAGAGAAUGAAUCGGAAUCACUUCCAUUGAGUAACUGAUUGUUUGUUAGAAUUAUCAAUUGGAUAUGAAAUAGCAUUGCUGACCCUGUUUCUGUUGUUUACAACCAAUAGCAUAGUUUCCAUAGAGGAAAUUAUGUUAAAAUUUUUGGUGCAGGCUGUUACGUUCCAUAAGUGCAAGAACUUGAUGGUGACGAACCUUAUAAUACUUAAUAGUCAACAAAUGCAUAUAGCUUUCACAAACUGUAUCAGGGUCAAGGUAUCUCACCUUGAAGUGAUUGCCCCCAUUUGAAGCCCUAACACUUAUGCAAUCCACAUUAGCCAUUCUACAUAUGUGGAGGUGAAGAGUCUCAUUAUCAAAACAGGUGACGACUGCAUAUCUAUAGCAAGCAAUUCUUCUAGAGUGUGAAUCAUGGAUAUUUCCUGCAAGGCUGGCCAUGGAAUAAGGUAAUGAAUCUGAAAUUAGUGUUAAUUUCCACUCUCUAUCGAGCAGCAUUGGAAGCUUAGGGAAAUAUAAUUCAUGUUCUCAAGUGCAUGACAUUCUGGUUGGAGGAACCUUUUCUGUCUAACACUCAGAACGGAUUGAGGAUCAAAACAUAGCAGACUGCAUCAGUUGAGGUGGGAAAUAUUUCUUUCAUGAGAAUCAAGGGAGCUUCAGCAACUGAAGAAGCAAUAAGAUUUGCCUUGUAGUGACAGUUCUCCGUGGGAAAGGAUACACUAAGAAGAUAUUGGAUUUUUAUCAAUCUGGUGGAAGAAGUGGAACCACAAGUUCUUUUUGCUGGCAAGUUAAAGGUUCAACUUUUGGGCAACUGCUUUCUGGUAACUCGAUGUUUUACUAACUGGUUUAAGCUUUAGAAUGUGGUGUGCGCUUUCAAGUUGCUUGAGCAAUUGUGUUGGCUAUGUCGCAUGUUAUUGCUGGUAUUGUCGUGGGGGAUGAUUCUUUUCCCUUAUUCCUUCUUUUGGUUGAUAGAUUUUUGUCGAGUCCAUUUGUACUUGAUUUCUUUUUCUAAUAAAUUUUAUUUUACUGACAACAAUAAAGAAGGAACACAGAAUGUUCUCUGGCGAACAUGGAAAUCAAA
Molecule: long non-coding RNA, 1417 nt
Organism: Papaver somniferum (opium poppy)
Lineage: Eukaryota; Viridiplantae; Streptophyta; Magnoliopsida; Ranunculales; Papaveraceae
Exons: 3
Source: RefSeq, a predicted model, not a curated record